This 1050-nucleotide long non-coding RNA is filed under the name Bos indicus x Bos taurus (hybrid cattle). RNAcentral's name for it is "lncRNA (ENSBIXG00000019945.1)". The record is from RNAcentral. Lineage: Eukaryota; Metazoa; Chordata; Mammalia; Artiodactyla; Bovidae.
AUGGGCGAGACAGCCCUCCCGGAACCCCAUGAGAACAUCGGGAGGUGUGACUUUAUAGCCGGAUCCAAGCCCUGGAAGGUGCAGGGCCCCGAGCGGCCUCAGGCAGCCACCCUCUGCAGCCGCACCCGCUGGGAGGGAGGGGCCGUCGCUGACUCACUCGGCCUCCUGUUUGCUGAGGCCUCGCCACCUGGCCCUGGAGCAUCGUCAUGGCGACCUGUGCGGCAGGUGUCCCGGCUCUGCAAAGCCUCCCUAGAGCUCCUCAUCCUCGCUCGGCCUGGCGGGCCCCUCCCCUCCACAUUCACAUCCCCUUCUUCCCCCUGGGUCCUCUUCCUGGGUCCUCCCCGUCCCUCUGUGGUCCUCCCCGUCCCUCUGGGGCUCUGUUGUGCUCACAGCCCCCUCUCCCCCCACGUCCCCUCCUUCCCCCCGGGUCUCCCUCCUGGGUCCUCCCGUCCCUCUGAGGCUCUGUGGUCCUCAAGCCCAGGUCGCCCCCUCUUGGGGGAAGGUCCCCAGCUCUGCCUCGUCCGCUUGGCUCAGAGCCGAAUGCGUGCUCCCAGCCCCAAGCUCACCCACGGCCACGGGAUGAGAAGCAGGCUUCCUGGAGUGACGGCAGGCCCUGAGGGGCCAGCCCGAGCGGUGGUCCUCUCCGCUGCCCGUCACGUCCCCCAGCCCCCAGGCUUCCCCUUGAGCUCCCGCCAUCAACUCGGCAGUGAGACCCUGGGCCACGUGCCACCACCGCUCGGGGGACCCGCGCUGGGGCGUCAGCAGCACGGGGUCCCAGGCAAGCUCUCAGUUCACAUGGGCGCCACAGUCCACGCACACACUCAGGAGCCUGGGCCGACAGCCCGGGUGGAGGCCAGCUCCCUCGGGGGACACCCCCCCUGCCCCUCCCUCGUCCUGCCUCAUGGUCUGUCGGGGUCCAGCCCGGCCCCAGCUCCUCGGGUCCUUCCCCAGGGCUUUCCGAUGACUCUGGUUUUGUCUGGAGCCUGGACUCCAGUCUGCCGCCCACCCACCCUCCACGGAUGCCCGACAGGCCCUCGGCACUGUUCGUGA